AGGACACAGAAGGUGGAACGGAGGC
Molecule: microRNA, 25 nt
Filed under: Echinococcus granulosus
Lineage: Eukaryota; Metazoa; Platyhelminthes; Cestoda; Cyclophyllidea; Taeniidae
Description: egr-miR-10291-5p
Source: miRBase by way of RNAcentral